CGGAUUGUAGUCUGCAACUCGACUACAUGAAGCUGGAAUCGCUAGUAAUCGCGAAUCAGAAUGUCGCGGUGAAUACGUUCCCGGGUCUUGUACACACCGCCCGUCACACCAUGGGAGUCAGUAACGCCCGAAGCCGGUGACCUAACCGAAAGGGAGGAGCCGUCGAAGGUGGGACCGAUAACUGGGGUGAAGUCGUAACAAGGUAAC
Molecule: ribosomal RNA, 207 nt
Filed under: uncultured bacterium
Lineage: Bacteria
Description: partial 16S ribosomal RNA
Rfam family: Bacterial small subunit ribosomal RNA
Source: RNAcentral